UACGUAGGGGGCUAGCGUUGUCCGGAUUUAUUGGGCGUAAAGAGCGUGUAGGCGGCCAGGUAGGUCUGCUGUGAAAACUCGAGGCUCAACCUCGAGACGUCGGCGGAAACCAUCUGGCUAGAGUCCGGAAGAGGAGAGUGGAAUUCCUGGUGUAGCGGUGAAAUGCGCAGAUAUCAGGAAGAACACCCGUGGCGAAGGCGGCUCUCUGGGACGGUACUGACGCUGAGAUGCGAAAGCGUGGGGAGCGAACAGG
This 253-nucleotide ribosomal RNA is filed under the name uncultured bacterium. Its description in RNAcentral is "partial 16S ribosomal RNA". It matches the Rfam family "Bacterial small subunit ribosomal RNA", at positions 524 to 776 of the family's 1533-position model. The record is from RNAcentral.